RNA transcript from Nasonia vitripennis (jewel wasp), 5250 nucleotides. It is a transcript of the gene named xaa-Pro dipeptidase, with no coding region annotated. The record is from RefSeq and is a predicted model, not a curated record. Lineage: Eukaryota; Metazoa; Arthropoda; Insecta; Hymenoptera; Pteromalidae. The transcript has 6 exons.
GUAGGCUUGGUACAGUUAACCAAGCACCUAGUUCUCAUAACCAAUUUUUGGUUAACCAAUUAUCACUUGGUUACCACAACUAACCAUUUUUUUUCGUAUACGAAUGCGCUUAUUAUAGCACGAUAACGCGCGUGGCUGCAGUACACAGUCGAUCGAUUCAGAAGGUUUUUUUUAUCUGUCUUAAUACGAUUUUGAACGUCUUAUAAAUUGUCGCGAUCGAUUUUCCAGAAACGGGCUGCAUUGAUCCCGAAGUUGUUCGCACAAAUAGGAAGAAAUAGACUGUGCUUUACGUAUACGAGGCUAUUGCGCAAUUUACGUAAUCGUUUACUUAUGUAAAAUUGCUGAUUUAAUGCAUAAUGAUGGGCAUUUUUUUGUAUCAAUUUCAUUCACAGCAAAAACGCGCAUAUCGAAGCCACGUAUGUACGCACCGACGAAGUAAAAGUAUCAGCAGGACAUCGACUUUUACCAAAUCAGGCGGCAGCGUUCAAUUAUACUUACUCGCUCUCCGCAUCGCGUACAUGCCUGCACAUGGACAUUCCUCCCGACCGUUCGUGUUUAUUUUUUCAACGCUCGACGCGGUCGCACGUUGUUUGUACUCAUCCAAGGUACACAGGUUGUACAUACACACGACUUCGAGAAUCGGGAACAAUGAGGGCGUGCACGCGCGCGCGGCCGAGGAGAAAGAAAGGAAACACUCGCUUUCUCCACAUGUGUGUAUAUACAUUAUAAGUACGCGCUGCGACUUGUAAGCUAUGGCUUAAUGUAUGUAUACCGAGUAGCUUUGCAAAAAACGUUGCGGAAUGUCGCGCGCCAGAGAGCCGAGGAAUGAGUUCUCAUUUACGUGGGUGAUGUAAAUUUUAGUUUUUUCGGGACAACCAAGAGAUGUAUUAAUUUUGUUUAUGUGCAUAUACGCGGUAAAAGGUGAACAAUGAGGAGAAUACCGCGCGUAAACACGCACUAGGAAGUAUUGUUGGACGUUAUCGGACUUGGCAAAGUAUCGACUGUUAUUGAUGCGCUCGAUGAUGUUAACGCAUUUUUUCUGCGAUCAGUGUUGAGAAUGGAAGAAUUUUUCCACGGAAGUGAGCAUUAACAGCUUGCUUUAACGAGGCGCGUAUAUUCUUAGAUCUAGCGAUGAAAAAAAAAGUCAAAAGAAUCAAAGCGACGUACACAUUUAACUCCCUUUCGCGAAUUUUGUGCUUCGAAUGGUGACCUAGCUUUUGUGUAUGUACACUCCACGUCAAAACGAAUCCUCCAAUGAAAAGGCGAAUUUGCUUUAGUUUAUUUCAAUGAAUCAAAUUAAAUCCUUCAUAGCUUUUGUACGUUUUCUUUGAACUUUUGUGACUUUCAAGCUUAUGGCUGGAGCGGAAAUUAUGAUUCCAUUUCCAUAUAAAUAUUCCCUUUGUUCGCAAUCGAUCCGUUCUACUAUACUUAUAUGUUUGCUUUCAUUUAAAGAAACUGCAGAUGUUUCGCAAAAUAUCAAAGAAGGAAAUUCAAAGCAUUUCAGUCGCCCAUCGCCAUCUACCGGUAUUUCGUUCGAAUAGCUGCGAAUCUGUUUUGUCGACAGACGGACGGAACAAAACCGGUGCAGAAAAGUAAACCAUCCUUUAUCUGCGUACUACUUACUUUUUAACAUUUUCAAGUCAUUAUUUUUCUCGCAAAUAAUAUGAUUUUGCAAGUUGUUUUUUCAUGUAGGUUUUUACUAGUCGCUUCUUGACAAUUUCGAUAUGAAUAUCAGCUAUUUCUCCUGUACUAGAAUUUCUUUUGGUAGCAUGCUAAAACUGAACUUUAUCGAACGUUCUGUAAAAGUAAAAUCAAACUUCUGUACAUCAUUUCAUUCAUCAUGUGGCGGAAUGGGAUGUCAAGAAGACUCGCGUAUUUUAGAUUGAGCGAAAAGUCAGAUUAUUUCAUAGCAAAAUUCAGUAGGUGGCUAAAGCGUAGUAAAGAAAUUGCAUCAAAACAUGAUAAUUUAAUUCGAACUGAAAUGUUUGUACAAGAAGGAUUCGAUAUUUAUGAAUUGCCCAUAGUUAUUAAAAAGAUCAGUGACAUACAUUUUUUUUGUAACGCUAAAAACGUUGAUAAUUUUCCUGCUACUCUGUGCAUUAGUCAACCCUUCAAGGAACAUAAAUCAGAAGAACAUUGUAAUGCAUUGCAAAACAGGAAACAAAAGAUUUGCAUUGAUGCUGAUAAUAUUCCUAUUUUAUUUGCUCAAGAAGUAAAUAUUUCAAAUAUCUUGAAUGUGGAACAAAUUUUUAAAGAGACUGUAAACUCAAUAUCAGAGGAAAAGAUCAAGGCAUUAUUAUUAGAUUCAGCCAUUCAUAUGGAUAUUAAUAGUAGGAUGGCACUGGAGUGCUUGAAAAAAAUUAUUAACAUGGAAAGAAAACAUAGAAAACUUAUGAGAGCUUCAAAAUUUAUACCAAAUCGUCAUAUGAUGUUGAGACAGUUAUCUGAAAUUAUUAUCACUAGCCAAGACAGUGGAGUAAUUUUGAAAGCACUCUCUAUAAUUAUAAAAGAUAAGUUUUUACCCCCAAAUAACUCGUACAAGGAUAUUCUCACUAAUGAAGCAUUGAUCAGAUCCACCAAUGGAGAUUUCAGUAUUCAACAAUUAAUUGAUAUAAUUAAGAUUCUUUCUAUUUUUGGAGAUGCAAAAUAUCAAGACGCAAUAGAUUAUUUUUGGACCGGUAUUGUAAUAAAACAGGAAGACAUCACUGCUCAUCAUUUGGUACCAUUAUUCAAACUGCUUAGUUACAUGAAAAGAAGUAGAAUCAGAGUGCAAAUUUUAUUAGAGAAAAAGUUGAUAAAGAACUAUCAUAAACUGUCUGCACCACAGAUGACUGACAUACUAAAUAUAUUUCAAAAAUAUUCAAAGUCAUCGGUAGUUAUGAAAUGUGCCAGUAAGUGGGCAACUAUGCACCUGUUAUCUAUUUCGAAAUAUGAUUUUUUAGAAUUUGUAGAGAGUCUUACAACUGCCAAGUUCAUAAAUUUCACUCUUGAAAAAGCAAUAGAAAAAGCACUGGAUAUGAAAAAAAUGAAGAGCAAUGAUCAUUCAUUGAUGUCAGCUGUUGCUGUUUACUGCUCAACGGUUCAUCUGAGGAAUAUAUGCAUAUGUAACAGAGUAGUAAAAUAUCUUGAAAAACAUAGCAAAUAUCUUCCACUGGAUUCAUCAGUUGAAAUGAUAGUUGCUUUAGGAAAUUUAAAUUUUGAACUGCAAAGCAAAGAUGAUUUUUGGCAUGCUUUCGAACAAACAUUAGAUAAUCAGUUUUUUUACUUGGAGCAAGAGAAGGUGAUGCAAGUUUUAUUGUCUUGUGCAUAUAUAAACAAGUAUUUUCCCAAAUGUAUGCAGAAGAUUUUUUCACCGGGAUUCUUAGAUAACUUGGAAUCGCAAGGUGACACAGCAAUGGCACAAUCGUUGAGAAAUCAGUUAUAUGUUCUAGAUACAGCAAUGACUUUAGAGUGCACAACAUACAGUGGUCCACUUCUAUUUCGUUCAAAUCAAUUAGAUCCAGUUGUCAUUGACAUGCAAAUCACAAGAACAAUUAGCAGAAUUCAUAGUCAAUUAAUAAAAUUAGCAGGUGACAGCGAAAAAUUGAGCACACAUGUUACUUUAAGUAAUUUAUCCACAACACCAUUGUAUAUAAUUGAUGCUUUGAUUCAUAAACAAUCGAAAUACACGCGAGCUUUGGAAUUAGAUUUGAUCAAAGAAAAAAAUGAAAAUACAGCUGUGAUUGUAUUGCUACCACACCAUUACUGCUGGGGUUCGUGUAAAUUAAUCGGCGAACAGGCGAUGAGAAUAAGACACCUAAGAAAAUUAGGAUUUAGAGUCAUGCUUCUUGAUUUUAAUAAUUUAUGUUUGACCUAUGGCAAAGUACACGAAUUAGCAAAAUAUUUAAAUCGUGCGUUCAAAACGGCGUACGAAGCUUUAUAACGUUCUUCGACUAAACUUAUUAUAAAAAAAGCACAGCGUGGGUAUUCCCCGUAAAGUGAAUGUUCGCAUAAUACAAAACUAGAAUUUUUAAAAGAGUCCCGUGUGAUAAAGACCCCCAAGGAAAUAGAAGUCCUGCGCUACGUUGUCAAGGUGAGCUCAGAUGCGCACAAAUCUGUGAUGAGAACGGUGCGUCCAGGCCUAGCCGAAUUUCAAGCCGAAGCUGCCUUUCAACAUUACGCUUACUCCGUCGGAGGUUGUAGAUACGUCUCUUAUACUUGCAUAUGCGGCUCUGGAUGCAAUGCCGCUAUUUUGCAUUACGGGCACGCCGGAGCACCGAACAACAAAGUGCUUAAAGAUGGCGAUAUGUGUCUCUUUGACAUGGGUGGAAACUACUGUGGCUACGCAGCUGAUAUAACGUGCAGUUUUCCGGCCAAUGGCAAGUUCACCGACGACCAGAAGAUUGUCUACAAUGCAGUGUUGGACGCCCGUAACGCCGUAAUGAAUGCAGCAAAGCCUGGCGUCCUUUGGACGGAUAUGCAUCUGUUGGCCAAUCGAGUUAUGUUAGAGGCUCUAAAGAAGGGUGGCCUGUUGCAAGGUGAUGUCAGGGACAUGAUCAAGGCGGGUUUGAACGCGGUCUUCCAGCCUCAUGGAUUAGGGCACUUCCUUGGUCUGGACGUGCACGAUGUCGGUGGUUACCUGCCGAAUCAUCCGGCAAGGUCCAAGGAACCCGGUUUGAACAAACUCAGAACUGCCCGACCACUGAUGGCUGGCAUGGUUCUCACCAUCGAACCUGGUUGCUAUUUUAUUGACUGGUUACUUGACAAGGCUCGUGAGAACAAGGAGCAGUCUAAAUUCAUCGUGUGGGAGACACUGUCGCGCUUCCGUGGCACUGGAGGCGUGCGUAUUGAAGAUGACGUACUGAUCACCGAGACAGGCACGGAAAAUCUGACGAUCGUACCGCGCACUGUCGAAGAGAUUGAAACUUGGAUGGCGCCAAAUCGUGAAAAAUUGCAACUACCUCAGGAGAAAUUGUGCGUGUAAGCCAUUCGCAAAAUGUAAGUGUCGAUUUGUCAUUCGUCCUUUUGCAACCGUCGAAGAAAAUCCGUAACAACUGUGUAAAUUCGGCGAUUGGCGUCAAUUUUCAAGAAGCAGAGGAGCUCUUCGUUGAAAAUUUCGGCGCGUUUAUCAUACUCAAAUGACUGAAAAAGAUGUAAACACUUGUUAUACAUAUAUGUAUAUGUAAAUAUAUAUUAUUAUUAUAUUAUUUACAUAUAUAUUUUUUUCAUGUAUUUUUAUGGAAAAGUUAUUAAACGGUAGUUUUACAAGUA